Molecule: non-coding RNA, 46 nt
Filed under: Trypanosoma brucei brucei
Lineage: Eukaryota; Euglenozoa; Kinetoplastea; Trypanosomatida; Trypanosomatidae
Source: RNAcentral
AUACACAAUCAACGAUAGAAGACUAUCAGAUAGUAGAUAUGUAAAU